ACUGAGAAAUUUGGGAGCGCUGAUCUCUAUCUUAUCUGCGUGUAAAUGAUUUGUUUGCCCUGUGCAGUACUUGAGUUGUAGCUGUUACAAUCUCUUUACGAAGCAAGUCAACACCUGCCCUGGCACCUGCAGACAUGUGAGUCACCACCACAGCAUGGCUGCUAAUAGACUAGUGGUGGAGGUCCACACCCGGGAUCUGAACCCAGGCUGCUGAAGCAGAGCAUGCUGAACUUAACCAGUAGGCCGCCGGGACUGGCCCUGAUUUGAUGCUUUAUUCAUCAGUUAACAAACAUGUAUCAAGCACCUUCUAUGCUCCUGACACUCUUCUAAAUGCUGAGUACUGAGUGGGGACAGGAAUUAUGAUCCCUGAUUUUCCAAUGAGGGAACAGAGACCCCCAAGACAGAGAGGCAAAGGGCCUUGCUCAGCAUGGAGGACGGAAGACUCCCAGGCCAGGGCAGGGAGGGAAGGCGAUUUGCCUGAAGCCACCAUUGCUGCCCUUCCCCCUCCUCUAGAAAGAAGCGGAUUCUGUGCCCACCAGGUUACAAUAACCACAGCUCACACGCGUAUGGCCCCCUUCUCCCUCCCCAGCCCGGAUGCUCGCGGCUCCUCCGAGCCUCAGUUUCCAUCUGUAAAAUGGGCAUCACUGGAGUGGAGGCGGGCCACGAGUGUGUGUGUGAGUCGGGACGGCCGGGCGCCG
This 698-nucleotide long non-coding RNA is filed under the name Equus asinus (donkey). RNAcentral describes it as "lncRNA (ENSEASG00005038688.1)". Lineage: Eukaryota; Metazoa; Chordata; Mammalia; Perissodactyla; Equidae. The record is from RNAcentral.